Molecule: ribosomal RNA, 253 nt
Filed under: uncultured bacterium
Lineage: Bacteria
Description: partial 16S ribosomal RNA
Rfam family: Bacterial small subunit ribosomal RNA
Source: RNAcentral
UACGUAGGGGGCGAGCGUUGUCCGGAUUUAUUGGGCGUAAAGAGCGUGUAGGCGGUUCGGUAAGUCUGUCGUGAAAUCCUGAGGCUCAACCUCGGACGUGCGAUGGAUACUGCCGGGCUAGAGGAUGGUAGAGGCGAGUGGAAUUCCCGGUGUAGCGGUGAAAUGCGCAGAUAUCGGGAGGAACACCAGUAGCGAAGGCGGCUCGCUGGGCCAUUCCUGACGCUGAGACGCGAAAGCGUGGGGAGCGAACAGG